UACCAUGAGCAAAGAUAGUGGUGGGGUAAAGAAUAGAAUCGCCCUGUAUAUAAGCGCGUCGUUUUCUGAUAAAUUCAGUCUAAAAAUUUCUACGCAGAGAAGAAGACGCUUGAGAUAGACGUCGACAAGUUUUAAAGGGCCAAAUGGCCCUUGCCCCCUUAGUUAAAGGGGGCAAAACUCAAAUCGAAUUUGUAGAAGUAUUAAUCCGAAUCGUUGAUUAUAAAAAAUCAGAAAAUGUCAAUAAUUAAAAGAAAGCUGAUUGAAGAAUUUCCUCAACAUUGAUUGAAGAUAUCAAAAAGACUCGAUUUCGACGCAGCCAAACAAGAAAGCUCAGUGUAUCUGAGGUAAGAAAUAAAGCAAACAAUUUAUUAGAAAAUUUGCAAAGCUACAUGAAAAUACAAUGAAUUCAAAUAAACAUUAAAGAAGCAUUAAGUUACCAUUUAGGAGUAAAGAUGUUUAAUUUAAGUUUGUAAUUUAGGGAAAUUAACUAAUCAUUAGAUAAUGAUAUAAAGUAAAUGAUGAUGGUGAUUUAAAAAAAAUCAAAUAAAUAUA
Onthophagus taurus is the source of this 552-nucleotide long non-coding RNA. RefSeq lists it as uncharacterized. Lineage: Eukaryota; Metazoa; Arthropoda; Insecta; Coleoptera; Scarabaeidae. The record is from RefSeq and is a predicted model, not a curated record.